This is a long non-coding RNA of Rhododendron vialii, 567 nucleotides long. RefSeq lists it as uncharacterized. The record is from RefSeq and is a predicted model, not a curated record. The transcript has 2 exons. Lineage: Eukaryota; Viridiplantae; Streptophyta; Magnoliopsida; Ericales; Ericaceae.
AAAGAAACUUGAUCGAUAAAGCUAUAAAAAGAAACCGGGCAAAGAUAUGGGUCUUCGAAUCUGAGCUCCCAAAUGCUCUCUCUUUCUACACCUUUUUGAGGCAAACGAAAUGGCCGCCGAUAUCUGGCACUUCAUCAAGCUUUAUUGCAGAUGGGUAUGUGAGUGACGACAUUUAGGGCCACCGCCAUCAGAGCAACUAGAGAGGCACUGGUGUUUGAAACCGCCAUUGGGAAUGAGAGAGGUGGAGAGAGAGAGAGAGAGAGGGAAUUGCAUCAGAGAGAGAGAGAGAGAGAGAGAGAGAGAGAGAUAAUGAAUACGCAUAAUGGAGUGAACUAUUAGUACCCAACAGAAAAGGGAUUUCGUGAUUUCUCCGUGCCUCCGGCGAACCUCCAACGGGUCUUGGGGUUUUGUUGGAGAUGAGAACAGCCAUAUGAAGGAAAAGGAAUUUCGAGGGGCAUCUUUGUAAAGCAAGUGGUGUAAGAGAGGGCAAUUAAGUCAUGUAAUGAAAUGAACACUUUGGCAAGAACGUUUUGGCAUUAUCAGAAAACUUCAUAUGGUAAAAACGCA